This 284-nucleotide ribosomal RNA is filed under the name uncultured prokaryote. RNAcentral's name for it is "partial 16S ribosomal RNA". It matches the Rfam family "Bacterial small subunit ribosomal RNA", at positions 524 to 817 of the family's 1533-position model. The record is from RNAcentral.
UACGUAGGGGGCAAGCGUUGUCCGGAAUGACUGGGCGUAAAGGGCGUGUAGGCGGCCGAUUAAGUCUGGAGUGAAAGUCCCGCUUUCAAGGUGGGAAUUGCUUUGGAAACUGGUUGGCUUGAGUGCGGAAGAGGUAAGUGGAAUUCCCAGUGUAGCGGUGAAAUGCGUAGAGAUUGGGAGGAACACCAGUGGCGAAGGCGACUUACUGGGCCGUAACUGACGCUGAGGCGCGAAAGCGUGGGGAGCGAACAGGAUUAGAUACCCCCGUAGUCCCUGAGCGGGCU